GGGUUGUGAGGUUAAGCGACUAAGCGUACACGGUGGAUGCCCUGGCAGUCAGAGGCGAUGAAGGGCGUGCUAAUCUGCGAUAAGCGCCGGUAAGGUGAUAUGAACCGUUAUAACCGGCGAUACCCGAAUGGGGAAACCCAGUGUGACUCGUCACACUAUCAUUAACUGAAUCCAUAGGUUAAUGAGGCGAACCGGGGGAACUGAAACAUCUAAGUACCCCGAGGAAAAGAAAUCAACCGAGAUUCCCCCAGUAGCGGCGAGCGAACGGGGAGGAGCCCAGAGCCUGAAUCAGCAUGUGUGUUAGUGGAAGCGUCUGGAAAGGCGCGCGAUACAGGGUGACAGCCCCGUACACAAAAGCGCAUGUGCUGUGAGCUCGAUGAGUAGGGCGGGACACGUGGUAUCCUGUCUGAAUAUGGGGGGACCAUCCUCCAAGGCUAAAUACUCCUGACUGACCGAUAGUGAACCAGUACCGUGAGGGAAAGGCGAAAAGAACCCCGGCGAGGGGAGUGAAAAAGAACCUGAAACCGUGUACGUACAAGCAGUGGGAGCACAGGUUUACCUGUGUGACUGCGUACCUUUU
Molecule: ribosomal RNA, 580 nt
Filed under: Salmonella enterica subsp. enterica serovar Chester
Lineage: Bacteria; Pseudomonadati; Pseudomonadota; Gammaproteobacteria; Enterobacterales; Enterobacteriaceae
Description: partial 23S ribosomal RNA
Rfam family: Bacterial large subunit ribosomal RNA
Source: RNAcentral